Molecule: long non-coding RNA, 309 nt
Organism: Vicia villosa (hairy vetch)
Lineage: Eukaryota; Viridiplantae; Streptophyta; Magnoliopsida; Fabales; Fabaceae
Exons: 4
Source: RefSeq, a predicted model, not a curated record
CCAAACAUUUCUGCUGAGUUUCAAGCACACUUAGGUCAAGCUGCUGUUUCUGCAGCAAAGGCAGUUAACUAUUACAAUGCUGGGACAGUGGAGUUUAUAGUUGAUACGGUCUCUGGCCAGUUUUACUUUAUGGAGAUGAAUACCCGUCUUCAGGUUGAACAUCCUGUCACAGAGAUGAUUGUUGGUCAAGAUCUUGUUGAAUGGCAAAUCCAUGUUGCCAAUGGAGACCCUCUUCCGUUGAGUCAAUCACAGAUUCCAAUAUUAGGUCAUGCUUUUGAAGCUCGAAUCUAUGCUGAAAAUGUUCUAAAA